GGCCGAAGUACAGACAUUUUUCCUGUGAGAAUUACCAGGAACAGUUCAAUAUGGGGGAUAUUCUGGCUCAUGAAUCUGAAAUACUCGAACUAGUGAAAGAGUAUUUAGAUUUUGCUGAAUUUGAAGAUACCUUGAAAACAUUUUCCAAAGAAUGCAAAAUAAAAGGAAAACCAUUAUGUAAAACAGCAGGUGGAUCUUUACAGGACUCUAAAUCAUUGAUAAUUCAGAAGGCUCUUGUCUCUGCAUUUGACAAUGGAGACCAGAAGGUGUUCUUCAAUUUAUGGGAAGAACACAUUCCCAGUUUCAUCCAAAAUGGUGACGCCCUUGCCCAGAAGUUGGAAUUCUAUCUUCACAUCCAUUUUGCCAUCUAUCCUCUGAAACAUUCCGUAGGGAGACCGGACAGAGAGGAGCUGGAGGAAAGGAUUUCUUACUUCAAAACCUACCUGGAGACCAAAGGAGCAGCGCUGAGCCAGACCACCGAGUUUCUUCCUUUCUAUGCCCUUCCUUUUCUUCCCAACCCUAUGGUACACCCUUCGUUUAAAGAACUCUUUCAGCAUUCCUGGACUCCAGAGUUAAAGUUGAAGUUGGAAAAGUUUCUAGCUUUAAUAUUUAAAGAUAGCAACACGCUGAAGCUUUUAACAGUGUAUAAGGAGAAUGGACAAAGUAACAAAGAGAUGUUGCAGCAGCUCCACCAGCAGCUGGUCAGAGCUGAACUUAGGUCAGUGACCUACCUGAGACGUACAGUAAGAUCCAAGCAGACUACCACAAUCUCAUUGGAGUCACAGCAGAGCUGCCGGAUUCUCUCAGGCCACAGUCAGUGGCAAGAUGAUCACUCCUGAGUACCUCCAGAGUGUCCGUGUCUGCCUCUUCAGCAACCAGAUGUGGCAGAGCCUGGCUCAUAGCGUGGACUUCACAAGGCCUGGGACGGCUUCCAGCAUGUUACAAGCUUCCGUGGCACCCGUGAGACUGAAAGAUGUCCCAUUACUGCCCUCCCUGGAUUAUGAGAAACUGAAGAAGGAUUUGAUUUGGGGGAGUGAUGGUUUAAAAGCCUUCUUGUUGCAGGCUCUGCGCUGGCGCUUGAGCACCUCCCGUCCUGGAGAGCAGAGGGAGGCGGUUCUGCAGGCCUACAUCAGCAACGACCUCUUGGACUGUCAUACCCACAACCAGAGGAAUGUGCUUCACUUGCUGCACGCAAAGAGUGAGGUGGUGCGGCAGUACAUGGCCAGGCUCAUCAACGCUUUUGCGUCACUAGCUGAAGGUCACCUCUACCUUGCUCAGAACAAAAUGGUGCUGUGGAUGCUGGAGGGUGCUUCAUCAAAGAAGGCAACACUGAAAUGA
This is an RNA transcript of Nycticebus coucang (slow loris), 1338 nucleotides long. It is a transcript of the gene named lisH domain-containing protein ARMC9-like, with no coding region annotated. The record is from RefSeq and is a predicted model, not a curated record. Lineage: Eukaryota; Metazoa; Chordata; Mammalia; Primates; Lorisidae. The transcript has a single exon.